RNAcentral lists this ribosomal RNA (253 nucleotides) under uncultured bacterium. Its description in RNAcentral is "partial 16S ribosomal RNA". It matches the Rfam family "Bacterial small subunit ribosomal RNA", at positions 524 to 776 of the family's 1533-position model. The record is from RNAcentral.
UACAGAGGUCCCAAGCGUUGUUCGGAUUCACUGGGCGUAAAGGGUGCGUAGGCGGUUGGGUAAGUCUGAUGUGAAAUCUCACAGCUUAACUGUGAAACUGCAUUGGAUACUAUCCGGCUAGAGGAAUGGAGGGGAGACUGGAAUACUUGGUGUAGCAGUGAAAUGCGUAGAUAUCAAGUGGAACACCAGUGGCGAAGGCGAGUGUCUGGACAUUUCCUGACGCUGAGGCACGAAAGCCAGGGGAGCAAACGGG